GCGGGAGUGGCGGAACCAGGUAGACGCGCACGGUUUAGGUCCGUGUGUCUUCGGACGUGAGGGUUCGAGUCCCUCCUCCCGCA
RNAcentral lists this transfer RNA (83 nucleotides) under Phytoactinopolyspora halophila. It matches the Rfam family "tRNA". From Rfam's summary of the family: Transfer RNA (tRNA) molecules are approximately 80 nucleotides in length. Their secondary structure includes four short double-helical elements and three loops (D, anti-codon, and T loops). RNAcentral also lists the same sequence under 1 other name. Lineage: Bacteria; Bacillati; Actinomycetota; Actinomycetes; Jiangellales; Jiangellaceae. The record is from Rfam by way of RNAcentral.